This is a non-coding RNA of Schizosaccharomyces pombe (fission yeast), 223 nucleotides long. The record is from the annotation of a GenBank genome assembly. NCBI's taxonomy places the organism in Eukaryota, Fungi, Ascomycota, Schizosaccharomycetes, Schizosaccharomycetales, Schizosaccharomycetaceae.
GUAGUAAAAAGAAACGUCAACACGGGAGAUGUAGUUGGAGAAAUAUGAGCCACAGACAGAGACUUUGUACGGUAUAGAGAACGAUGGCAAAGUAUUAUUGAAAAAGGUGAAGUUCAAUGGGGGCAGAUCAACAGAGUUAUGCAAUUAAGAAUAAAGGGGAUGGGACACUAUCCAAAAAGAAGGAAGAGUGAAGAAAUUGAAAAUUAAUGUGUGAAUGAAGAGA